Molecule: long non-coding RNA, 1216 nt
Filed under: Sinocyclocheilus anshuiensis
Lineage: Eukaryota; Metazoa; Chordata; Actinopteri; Cypriniformes; Cyprinidae
Description: lncRNA (ENSSANG00000046617.1)
Source: RNAcentral
CUGCAGUACUCAAUGGCAACGCGCAUGACGGAAGUCGUCACUGCAAGUCAGUAGCAAAUAUUCCGACGUUUGCGAAUUUUGUUAGCACUGCGUGUGUUAAUUUCAUGAUAUAGUUAAUUACGUAGCUGCCGUAAUAAUACGCGGGGUUAGUGUGCAGUCAGUUUGCUCUGGAAAUCUGUCCAGCAGUCUAAAUAUGGUUCUGAAGGGUCGCCGGAAAUGACUUUUACUGGCUUAAAGAAAUCACAUCCGACCUGUGCAUCAUGAGGAUGGCACGGCGAGUAUUCGUGAUCAUAUAACAGCACACUCUCGCCGCCGGAGAGGGGUUAUUAUUAUUUUUUUAGCGAGGACUGACAGUUGUAAACGUGAACGCGAUAUAGUCCCUUUAAAAGAUGUUGUCCAAUCCUCCGGCUGAGCAGAAAGGGACAGAGCAGGUGCCUGCGUCUGCGGCUGGUCCAUGCCAUCGUGCUGCUCAGUCUUUGCUGUAUCAGGAGCAGCUGCCUGUAGGAUGCAGAGAAACCAGCAGGGAGGAGAUUGAAUCUGGUGACACAACACGAUCCUCAGACUUUGGGAAAGGCGUGAAGGAAGUUCAUUUGGAGAAUGAAGGAGCUCUGAGACAGAUGACAUUUGAUCCAAAAAGUAGUAACUUUGGAGUCGGUCCUCGUUCGACUCGCAUGCACAUGUGUACUCAGCAAGAGGCCAAGUUUAGGGAUCCACGAUGGACAUCUGCCACCUUCAAUUCUUCUCCUCCAGCUGGACCAUCAGGAGAGCAACUUGGAACUCUGGGAAGAUUUCUUGUGUCCCAUCAAACUGAGAUGAAGCGUCUGCUAACUGAUACCUUCGGAUCUCUUACUCAGCGUCUUGAGGCAGUGGAGAGGAGGAUGGACCAACUGUGUUCACAAAGCAGUGCACAUACCCACAGUUUAGCUCAGCUGCACAGUAAAGUUGGCCAGCUGGGAAGAGACUUGUCCUUUAGCUGUCCAAAUACUCCAAGUGUUUCAUCAGCUUGCAGUUAUGGUAAAUGUUCAAGUUAGCAUUAUAAACAGUCGGUUAAUUUAAUUAUUAUGUAACUUGAAGCUAAUUUCAUAUAAUCUGAAAGAUCCCAACCCAAAUGCUGUGAUGAGCAGAGUUUUCUUUCCUGUGUUGAUAUGAAUUUGCAGUGGGAAAAAAAGAUAACUUUUUUAAUAACUAAUAUCAUGUAAUUUAUGUUAAAGCCACA